AGCCCGCUCGCCGGAAGACCAAGGGUUCCUGUCCAACGUUAAUCGGGGCAGGGUGAGUCGACCCCUAAGGCGAGGCCGAAAGGCGUAGUCGAUGGGAAACAGGUUAAUAUUCCUGUACUUGGUGUUACUGCGAAGGGGGGACGGAGAAGGCUAUGUUGGCCGGGCGACGGUUGUCCCGGUUUAAGCGUGUAGGCUGGUUUUCCAGGCAAAUCCGGAAAACCAAGGCUGAGGCGUGAUGACGAGGCACUACGGUGCUGAAGCGACAAAUGCCCUGCUUCCAGGAAAAGCCUCUAAGCAUCAGGUAACAUCAAAUCGUACCCCAAACCGACACAGGUGGUCAGGUAGAGAAUACCAAGGCGCUUGAGAGAACUCGGGUGAAGGAACUAGGCAAAAUGGUGCCGUAACUUCGGGAGAAGGCACGCUGAUAUGUAGGUGAAGCGACUUGCUCGUGGAGCUGAAAUCAGUCGAAGAUACCAGCUGGCUGCAACUGUUUAUUAAAAACACAGCACUGUGCAAACACGAAAGUGGACGUAUACGGUGUGACGCCUGCCCGGUGCCGGAAGGUUAAUUGAUGGGGUUAGCGGCAACGCGAAGCUCUUGAUCGAAGCCCCGGUAAACGGCGGCCGUAACUAUAACGGUCCUAAGGUAGCGAAAUUCCUUGUCGGGUAAGUUCCGACCUGCACGAAUGGCGUAAUGAUGGCCAGGCUGUCUCCACCCGAGACUCAGUGAAAUUGAACUCGCUGUGAAGAUGCAGUGUACCCGCGGCAAGACGGAAAGACCCCGUGAACCUUUACUAUAGCUUGACACUGAACAUUGAGCCUUGAUGUGUAGGAUAGGUGGGAGGCUUUGAAGUGUGGACGCCAGUCUGCAUGGAGCCGACCUUGAAAUACCACCCUUUAAUGUUUGAUGUUCUAACGUUGGCCCGUAAUCCGGGUUGCGGACAGUGUCUGGUGGGUAGUUUGACUGGGGCGGUCUCCUCCUAAAGAGUAACGGAGGAGCACGAAGGUUGGCUAAUCCUGGUCGGACAUCAGGAGGUUAGUGCAAUGGCAUAAGCCAGCUUGACUGCGAGCGUGACGGCGCGAGCAGGUGCGAAAGCAGGUCAUAGUGAUCCGGUGGUUCUGAAUGGAAGGGCCAUCGCUCAACGGAUAAAAGGUACUCCGGGGAUAACAGGCUGAUACCGCCCAAGAGUUCAUAUCGACGGCGGUGUUUGGCACCUCGAUGUCGGCUCAUCACAUCCUGGGGCUGAAGUAGGUCCCAAGGGUAUGGCUGUUCGCCAUUUAAAGUGGUACGCGAGCUGGGUUUAGAACGUCGUGAGACAGUUCGGUCCCUAUCUGCCGUGGGCGCUGGAGAACUGAGGGGGGCUGCUCCUAGUACGAGAGGACCGGAGUGGACGCAUCACUGGUGUUCGGGUUGUCAUGCCAAUGGCACUGCCCGGUAGCUAAAUGCGGAAGAGAUAAGUGCUGAAAGCAUCUAAGCACGAAACUUGCCCCGAGAUGAGUUCUCCCUGACUCCUUGAGAGUCCUGAAGGAACGUUGAAGACGACGACGUUGAUAGGCCGGGUGUGUAAGCGCAGCGAUGCGUUGAGCUAACCGGUACUAAUGAACCGUGAGGCUUAACCUU
Molecule: ribosomal RNA, 1620 nt
Filed under: Escherichia coli
Lineage: Bacteria; Pseudomonadati; Pseudomonadota; Gammaproteobacteria; Enterobacterales; Enterobacteriaceae
Description: bacterial LSU rRNA
Rfam family: Bacterial large subunit ribosomal RNA
Source: RNAcentral